AAUUUCGCCUUAAUUUCAAUCAAACUGAACUCAAGUGCGCAGAGGAAUAGCAUACAUUAGCAUCAAUAAUAUCAGUUAAAGCACGCGCCGCUCAGUGCUUCUGACUCGGAACCACUAUAGCCUAAUUUCACAAUUUUUUCAAUUUUUACAUCGAAAAAAGGUGAACCACAAGCGUAUGUUUACGCACGAACAGCAACACAGUUCGGAACCCGUCAUGCUGACCUUAUGCGGGGAGCAAGUUCAAGAGAGAGGGUCACUGGUCAGCAAUCAGUGUCUCUCGCACAAUCAGUCCUUCAUUGCCGAGUCGCAAUUAUCAAUUCACAGUUACGAAUUACGAUCACACCCGAAUUCAAACACCGCGAGCUUCGUUGUUUUCAAACGGGUUUCCAGCAUUGAUAUUUUUGUUCGCGCUGCGUGUAGGUCAGUGAGGUUCGGGUGUUUUAGUUGGUGGAAUUAUUCGAUUGGACUUGUUUAAGAUGCAGUUAAAUGCCGCAUUGGCGUUGGUGCUCUUGGCGGCAGUAUUGAGGGACGUGGAGAGUAGAACCGCCAGCAGAGGGCAGCACAGACAUCGCACACGAACGGACCACGAUGUAGGUGGAACCAACACCCGCAGGAACGGGGGCGGGGAAGGGGGCCAGGGGGGCAACCGACGAUGGGACUCUGGCUCGGACAGUGAUCUCGGAAACUCCAACUUCAACCUAAAUCAGAAUCGGCCCGGAAGUGACUUCUCAGACUUCGGCGACGCGUCUCGACCUUUCGGUAAUCAAAAUCGACCGGGCUCUAACAACUUCGGCAAUCAGAAUCAACCUUCAGGCACCAAUUUCAACCAGUUCGGCCAGAACCGACCAGGAAACAAUGACUUUGGCAACCAAAAUCUGCCCUCAGGCACCAAUUUCAAUCAAAACCGACCCGGAAGCAACAACUUCGGCAACCAAAACCUGCCCUCGGGCACCAAUUCCAAUCAAUUCGGUCAGAACCAACCAGGAAGCAACGAUUUUAGCAAUCAGAACCUGCCUUCAGGCACCAACUCUAACCAGUUCGGCCAGAACCGACCGGGCAGCAGUGACUUCGGUAACCAAAACCAACCGUCAGGUCAGACAUGGAUAAUUUAUGAAUUUAUUCUUGUAAAAUUUUACGAAUUUUUGUAGGUGUUGUAAUUUUGAAAUUCAAGAAAUCUUUGACGCACGUUUGUGCAAUAUCGUACGUCAUAGGCAGAAGAACUACCAUUUUAAAAACUAUGUUUUAAAAUCUUCGCACCAUGUGGCAGUUCCUUCGAAAAUACGAGCAAAAUGAAAGGCAUCAAGGCUACGCAUAUUUCGCUUUUUUUAUUACUUAUCGAUGACCGAAGAGAAAAAUCACGUAUCUACGUCUGCAGCGUUGCAGACCACCCUUGGCACUUGACUUUUUCUUGGGAAAACUAUUCAACGUAAUUUCUUGAAAACUUCCUUGAUUUUGCAUCUCUGUUAGAAGAGCACUCUGUUAAAAUCUUAACAUACAUAUAAAGUUGGUUUGCGGCCCUUCGUAAUAUAAAAUAGUAGCGGAAAUUUUGAAACACCGCUGUGGAAAUACGCCAUUUCGCACUUUGGUCAUCGUUCAUGUGUAGA
RNAcentral lists this long non-coding RNA (1604 nucleotides) under Bemisia tabaci. RNAcentral describes it as "lncRNA ENSASIAIIG005871". The record is from RNAcentral. Lineage: Eukaryota; Metazoa; Arthropoda; Insecta; Hemiptera; Aleyrodidae.